AUGGUAUCAGUGGUAGGGGAGCGUUCUAAGUGCAGUGAAGUCAGACCGGAAGGACUGGUGGAGCGCUUAGAAGUGAGAAUGCCGGUAUGAGUAGCGAAAGACGGGUGAGAAUCCCGUCCACCGAAUGCCUAAGGUUUCCUGAGGAAGGCUCGUCCGCUCAGGGUUAGUCAGGACCUAAGCCGAGGCCGACAGGCGUAGGCGAUGGACAACAGGUUGAUAUUCCUGUACCACCUCUUUAUCGUUUGAGCAAUGGAGGGACGCAGAAGGAUAGAAGAAGCGUGCGAUUGGUUGUGCACGUCCAAGCAGUUAGGCUGAUAAGUAGGCAAAUCCGCUUAUCGUGAAGGCUGAGCUGUGAUGGGGAAGCUCCUUAUGGAGCGAAGUCUUUGAUUCCCCGCUGCCAAGAAAAGCUUCUAGCGAGAUAAAAGGUGCCUGUACCGCAAACCGACACAGGUAGGCGAGGAGAGAAUCCUAAGGUGUGCGAGAGAACUCUGGUUAAGGAACUCGGCAAAAUGACCCCGUAACUUCGGGAGAAGGGGUGCUUUCUUAACGGAAAGCCGCAGUGAAUAGGCCCAAGCGACUGUUUAGCAAAAACACAGGUCUCUGCGAAGCCGUAAGGCGAAGUAUAGGGGCUGACACCUGCCCGGUGCUGGAAGGUUAAGGAGAGGGGUUAGCGUAAGCGAAGCUCUGAACUGAAGCCCCAGUAAACGGCGGCCGUAACUAUAACGGUCCUAAGGUAGCGAAAUUCCUUGUCGGGUAAGUUCCGACCCGCACGAAAGGUGUAACGAUUUGGGCACUGUCUCAACCAGAGACUCGGUGAAAUUAUAGUACCUGUGAAGAUGCAGGUUACCCGCGACAGGACGGAAAGACCCCGUGGAGCUUUACUGUAGCCUGAUAUUGAAUUUUGGUACAGUUUGUACAGGAUAGGCGGGAGCCAUUGAAACCGGAGCGCUAGCUUCGGUGGAGGCGCUGGUGGGAUACCGCCCUGACUGUAUUGAAAUUCUAACCUACGGGUCUUAUCGACCCGGGAGACAGUGUCAGGUGGGCAGUUUGACUGGGGCGGUCGCCUCCUAAAGUGUAACGGAGGCGCCCAAAGGUUCCCUCAGAAUGGUUGGAAAUCAUUCGUAGAGUGCAAAGGCAUAAGGGAGCUUGACUGCGAGACCUACAAGUCGAGCAGGGACGAAAGUCGGGCUUAGUGAUCCGGUGGUUCCGCAUGGAAGGGCCAUCGCUCAACGGAUAAAAGCUACCCCGGGGAUAACAGGCUUAUCUCCCCCAAGAGUCCACAUCGACGGGGAGGUUUGGCACCUCGAUGUCGGCUCAUCGCAUCCUGGGGCUGUAGUCGGUCCCAAGGGUUGGGCUGUUCGCCCAUUAAAGCGGUACGCGAGCUGGGUUCAGAACGUCGUGAGACAGUUCGGUCCCUAUCCGUCGUGGGCGUAGGAAAUUUGAGAGGAGCUGUCCUUAGUACGAGAGGACCGGGAUGGACGCACCGCUGGUGUACCAGUUGUUCUGCCAAGGGCAUAGCUGGGUAGCUAUGUGCGGAAGGGAUAAGUGCUGAAAGCAUCUAAGCAUGAAGCCCCCCUCAAGAUGAGAUUUCCCAUAGCGUAAGCUAGUAAGAUCCCUGAAAGAUGAUCAGGUUGAUAGGUUCGAGGUGGAAGCAUGGUGACAUGUGGAGCUGACGAAUACUAAUAGAUCGAGGACUUAACCAU
This 1703-nucleotide ribosomal RNA is filed under the name Bacillus toyonensis. Its description in RNAcentral is "partial 23S ribosomal RNA". It matches the Rfam family "Bacterial large subunit ribosomal RNA", at positions 1216 to 2925 of the family's 2925-position model. RNAcentral also lists the same sequence under 2 other names. Lineage: Bacteria; Bacillati; Bacillota; Bacilli; Caryophanales; Bacillaceae. The record is from RNAcentral.